This 424-nucleotide ribosomal RNA is filed under the name uncultured bacterium. Its description in RNAcentral is "partial 16S ribosomal RNA". It matches the Rfam family "Bacterial small subunit ribosomal RNA", at positions 360 to 776 of the family's 1533-position model. The record is from RNAcentral.
AAUUUUGCACAAUGGGGGAAACCCUGAUCCAGCAAUGCCGCGUGCAGGCUGAAGGCCUUCCGGUUGUAAACUCCUUUUUUACGGACCGAAAAGUCUUGGGCGACUCCCCUGGGACCAUGACGGUACCGUAAGAAUCAGCACCGGCUAACUACGUGCCCGCCCCCGCGGUAAUACGUAGGGUGCAAGCGUUAAUCGGAAUUACUGGGCGUAAAGCGUGCGCAGGCGGUUUUGUAAGACAGUGGUGAAAUCCCCGGGCUCAACCUGGGAACUGCCAUUGUGACUGCAAGGCUGGAGUGCGGCAGAGGGGGAUGGAAUUCCGCGUGUAGCAGUGAAAUGCGUAGAUAUGCGGAGGAACACCGAUGGCGAAGGCAAUCCCCUGGGCCUGCACUGACGCUCAUGCACGAAGGCGUGGGGAGCAAACAGG